Molecule: long non-coding RNA, 261 nt
Filed under: Lathyrus oleraceus (garden pea)
Lineage: Eukaryota; Viridiplantae; Streptophyta; Magnoliopsida; Fabales; Fabaceae
Description: Pisum sativum (pea) long non-coding RNA (PSAT_LNC024488)
Source: RNAcentral
UUACAGCGGCAAAAUAAGGGUGAUAACGAUCCUUACUGCAUUCUUUCUUUGUCUCUACACCUCCUGAUUCAACCUCUUUUUUGAGCUGACCCCUGCCAGAGGGUUUCUUUGCUACAGUGCCAGAGGGAUUGUUUACUUCGGAUGGCGGAGCCUUUCCCUGAACCUUCUCCUCUAUCAGCCAUUUCUCAAUCUUCUCCAACCUCUCAGCAAUUGCUUUCUGCCCCAAGGCAAGCCCUUGCACAACACUGAACAACUCCCUCA